UUUCCGUAGGUGAACCUGCGGAAGGAUCAUUAACACGUAUCCACGUAUCAACCCCCUCUGUGACAAACAACCCUGUUUAAGGUUGGUCGUAGCCUGACCAGUUCGCAUGGACCUCAAUGAUGGAGGCUCGCAAGGGCCUGAGGUUCGAGCUGUCAGGUGCUUGAUGACUGGCCGAUAUUUUCCCAUCAUUAGCCCCAUUUAACCCAAUUUUUUAAAACCCCUUUGUACUUCUCUGUACUGAACCAAUUCUUUCGAGUUCUCUUAGGAUGAACACGAAAAGAUAUUACGAAACUAAAGAACAACUCUUAGCAACGGAUAUCUUGGUUCCC
This 329-nucleotide unclassified non-coding RNA is filed under the name soil metagenome. RNAcentral describes it as "partial contains small subunit ribosomal RNA, internal transcribed spacer 1, and 5.8S ribosomal RNA". The record is from RNAcentral.